RNAcentral lists this ribosomal RNA (506 nucleotides) under uncultured Klebsiella sp. RNAcentral describes it as "bacterial SSU rRNA". It matches the Rfam family "Bacterial small subunit ribosomal RNA", at positions 63 to 560 of the family's 1533-position model. The record is from RNAcentral. Lineage: Bacteria; Pseudomonadati; Pseudomonadota; Gammaproteobacteria; Enterobacterales; Enterobacteriaceae.
CGAGCGGUAGCACAGAGAGCUUGCUCUCGGGUGACGAGCGGCGGACGGGUGAGUAAUGUCUGGGAAACUGCCUGAUGGAGGGGGAUAACUACUGGAAACGGUGGCUAAUACCGCAUAAUGUCGCAAGACCAAAGUGGGGGACCUUCGGGCCUCAUGCCAUCAGAUGUGCCCAGAUGGGAUUAGCUAGUAGGUGGGGUAACGGCUCACCUAGGCGACGAUCCCUAGCUGGUCUGAGAGGAUGACCAGCCACACUGGAACUGAGACACGGUCCAGACUCCUACGGGAGGCAGCAGUGGGGAAUAUUGCACAAUGGGCGCAAGCCUGAUGCAGCCAUGCCGCGUGUGUGAAGAAGGCCUUCGGGUUGUAAAGCACUUUCAGCGGGGAGGAAGGCGUUAAGGUUAAUAACCUUGGCGAUUGACGUUACCCGCAGAAGAAGCACCGGCUAACUCCGUGCCAGCAGCCGCGGUAAUACGGAGGGUGCAAGCGUUAAUCGGAAUUACUGGGCG